UACGAAGGGGGCGAGCGUUGUUCGGAUUUACUGGGCGUAAAGGGCGCGCAGGCGGCUCAUUUUGUCAGGCCGUGAAAGCCCCGGGCUUAACCUGGGAACUGCCUUCGAUACUGGAGAGACUUGAGUCCGGGAGAGGUGAGUGGAACUGCGAGUGAGAGGUGAAAUUCGUAGAUAUUCGCAAGAACACCAGUGGCGAAGGCGGCUCACUGGCCCGGUACUGACGCUGAGG
Molecule: ribosomal RNA, 229 nt
Filed under: uncultured bacterium
Lineage: Bacteria
Description: partial 16S ribosomal RNA
Rfam family: Bacterial small subunit ribosomal RNA
Source: RNAcentral